This 702-nucleotide ribosomal RNA is filed under the name uncultured bacterium. RNAcentral describes it as "bacterial SSU rRNA". It matches the Rfam family "Bacterial small subunit ribosomal RNA", at positions 1 to 698 of the family's 1533-position model. The record is from RNAcentral.
AGAUUAGAGUUUGAUCAUGGCUCAGGAUGAACGCUAGCGGCAGGCCUAACACAUGCAAGUCGAACGGUAACAGGAAAUAGCUUGCUAUUUUGCUGACGAGUGACGCACGGGUGCGUAACGCGUAUACAAUCUACCUUUUGCUGAGGGAUAGCCCAGAGAAAUUUGGAUUAAUACCUCAUGGUAUUAUUGAUAGGCAUCUAUUAAUAAUUAAAGGUUACGGCAAAAGAUGAGUAUGCGUCCCAUUAGCUAGUUGGUGAAGUAACGGUUCACCAAGGCAACGAUGGGUAGGGGUCCUGAGAGGGAGAUCCCCCACACUGGUACUGAGACACGGACCAGACUCCUACGGGAGGCAGCAGUGAGGAAUAUUGGACAAUGGGCGAGAGCCUGAUCCAGCCAUGCCGCGUGCAGGAAGACUGCCCUAUGGGUUGUAAACUGCUUUUAUACAGGAAGAAUAAGCCUUACGUGUAAGGUGAUGACGGUACUGUAAGAAUAAGGACCGGCUAACUCCGUGCCAGCAGCCGCGGUAAUACGGAGGGUCCGAGCGUUAUCCGGAAUUAUUGGGUUUAAAGGGUCCGUAGGCGGAUGAUUAAGUCAGGGGUGAAAGUUUGCAGCUCAACUGUAAAAUUGCCUUUGAUACUGGUCAUCUUGAGUUGUAUUGAAGUAGGCGGAAUAUGUAGUGUAGCGGUGAAAUGCAUAGAUAUU